Molecule: ribosomal RNA, 253 nt
Filed under: uncultured bacterium
Lineage: Bacteria
Description: partial 16S ribosomal RNA
Rfam family: Bacterial small subunit ribosomal RNA
Source: RNAcentral
UACGUAGGGGGCAAGCGUUGUCCGGAAUUACUGGGCGUAAAGCGCACGUAGGCGGCUUUGUAAGUUAGAGGUGAAAGCCUGGAGCUCAACUCCAGAAUUGCCUUUAAGACUGCAUCGCUUGAAUCCAGGAGAGGUGAGUGGAAUUCCGAGUGUAGAGGUGAAAUUCGUAGAUAUUCGGAAGAACACCAGUGGCGAAGGCGGCUCACUGGACUGAUAUUGACGCUGAGGUGCGAAAGCGUGGGGAGCAAACAGG